UUGUGGUUUUGGAUGGACUCGCGGCCUAUCAGCUUGUUGGUGAGGUAAUGGCUCACCAAGGCGACGACGGGUAGCCGGCCUGAGAGGGUGACCGGCCACACUGGGACUGAGACACGGCCCAGACUCCUACGGGAGGCAGCAGUGGGGAAUAUUGCACAAUGGGCGGAAGCCUGAUGCAGCGACGCCGCGUGAGGGAUGACGGCCUUCGGGUUGUAAACCUCUUUCAGUAGGGAAGAAGCGAAAGUGACGGUACCUGCAGAAGAAGCGCCGGCUAACUACGUGCCAGCAGCCGCGGUAAUACGUAGGGCGCAAGCGUUAUCCGGAAUUAUUGGGCGUAAAGAGCUCGUAGGCGGUUUGUCGCGUCUGCCGUGAAAGUCCGGGGCUCAACUCCGGAUCUGCGGUGGGUACGGGCAGACUAGAGUGAUGUAGGGGAGACUGGAAUUCCUGGUGUAGCGGUGAAAUGCGCAGAUAUCAGGAGGAACACCGAUGGCGAAGGCAGGUCUCUGGGCAUUAACUGACGCUAG
This 524-nucleotide ribosomal RNA is filed under the name Arthrobacter sp. SMCC B0681. Its description in RNAcentral is "bacterial SSU rRNA". It matches the Rfam family "Bacterial small subunit ribosomal RNA", at positions 213 to 749 of the family's 1533-position model. The record is from RNAcentral. Lineage: Bacteria; Bacillati; Actinomycetota; Actinomycetes; Micrococcales; Micrococcaceae.